Long non-coding RNA from Xiphophorus hellerii (green swordtail), 76 nucleotides. RefSeq lists it as uncharacterized. The transcript is spliced from 4 exons. The record is from RefSeq and is a predicted model, not a curated record. Lineage: Eukaryota; Metazoa; Chordata; Actinopteri; Cyprinodontiformes; Poeciliidae.
AGGGAAAAUAGUUUCCAAAAAAAAUGAAAAAAUGCAUAGAUUGGAAAUUUGAACACAAUCUGCCACAAUGAAGCAC